CGUAAAGCGCAUGCAGGCGGCCUGUUAAGUCAGAUGUGAAAGCCCGGGGCGUUAACCUCGGAAUUGCAUUUGAAACUAGGCAGGCUAGAGUCUUGUAGAGGGGGGUAGGAAGUUUCAGGUGUAGCGGUGAAAUAGCGUAGAGAUCUGAAGGAAUACCGGUGGCGAAGGCGGCCCCCUCGGACAAAGACUGACGCUCAGAUGCGAAAGCGUGGGGAGCAAACAGGAUUAGAUACCCUGGUAG
This 241-nucleotide ribosomal RNA is filed under the name uncultured bacterium. Its description in RNAcentral is "partial 16S ribosomal RNA". It matches the Rfam family "Bacterial small subunit ribosomal RNA", at positions 559 to 793 of the family's 1533-position model. The record is from RNAcentral.